RNAcentral lists this ribosomal RNA (252 nucleotides) under uncultured bacterium. RNAcentral's name for it is "partial 16S ribosomal RNA". It matches the Rfam family "Bacterial small subunit ribosomal RNA", at positions 524 to 776 of the family's 1533-position model. The record is from RNAcentral.
UACGGAGGGUGCAAGCGUUAUCCGGAAUUAUUGGGCGUAAAGCGCGCGCAGGCGGGAAUAUGAGUCUAUCUUCAAAGUGCGGAGCUCAACUCCGUGAUGGGGUAGAAACGGUAUUUCUUGAGUGCAGGAGAGGAAAGUGGAAUUCCCAGUGUAGCGGUGAAAUGCGUAGAGAUUGGGAGGAACACCAGUGGCGAAGGCGACUUUCUGGACUGUGUCUGACGCUGAGGCGCGAAAGCCAGGGGAGUGAACGGG